GAUUCGAUCACGAUAUUUAUGACACUUUUACUUCUUUUCUCGCGAACCAAGCAGACGGCAACUAGGGUUAGGGUUUCAAUUUUCUGGGUUUCUGAUACAGGAAUCUGGCGAGAUGUACAACGGAAUUGGCUUGCAGACCCCUAGGGGUUCAGGAACGAACGGCUACAUACAGAGCAACAAAUUCUUUGUAAAGCCGAAGACCGGGAAAGUGGUGGUGGACAACGCCGGCAAGGGCUUCGAGGCCGGUCAGGGCACCGCCGGCGUCACCAAGAAGGCCAACAAGGAAAUCCUGGAGCACGACCGCAAGAGGCAGAUCGAGCUCAAGCUUGUGGUCCUUGAAGACAAACUGAUCGAUCAGGGCUACACCGAUGCUGAGAUCGCUGAGAAGCUCGCUGAGGCUAGAAGGAAUCUGGAAGCCGCCGAGAACGCUGCUGAAGGCCCCGGCCCCAUAUCGGUUUCUGAGAAAAAGGUUUCAGAUACACAGACACACCAGAUUGCUGCUCGGAAGGAGAAACAGAUGGAAACAUUAAGAGCUGCUCUUGGGAUAGUCGCUUCUGAGGCCCCCACACAAAAAAGGGAUGAUUUGGAUUCAACCAGUGGAGAGAGCAAUGGUGAUGAUGAACUGGUAGACAACCAAAAAGGUCUUAACAAUGAUAGCAAGCUGUACAAAAAAGACAGUGAUGAUGAAAAAGAAAACUUGACAAGGGAUGUAAAAUUUAGGAAGAAUGAAGAUGGAAGGGGUGGGGUUGAUGAGUUUGGAAACCACAAGAACCAGGAUGACAAGAAGUGGCAUGAUUCUGAAAGUGAUUCUGAAAAGGAUGUAAAACGGACAAGGAAGAAUAAUCAGAAGACUAAUCAAGGGAGUGAUUCUGACCGUGAUCUGGAUGUUGAUGGUAGGAACAAAAGUAAAAAAUCAUCACAAAAGGACAAGGACAGUCAAAGAUUUGACACUGAUGAUUCUGAGUCAGAUGAUGAAAAGUAUGAGAAAGCUCGAAAGAAGCAUGACAAGAAAAAUAGAAGAUAUGACACUGAUGAUUCUGAAUCUGAUGAUGAGGGUUAUGAGAAAACCCAAAAGAGGCAUGACAAGAAAACUAGAAGGCAUGGCAGUGAUACUUCUGAAUCUGAUGAUGAGGAUUAUGAGAAAACCCAGAAGAGGCGUGACAAGAAAAAUAGAAGACAUGACAGUGAUUAUUCUGCAUCUGAUGAUGAGAAAUAUGAGAAGACUUGCUCAAGGCAUGACAAGAAACAUAGAAGAGACAGUGGUUAUUUGAGUUCUGAUGAUGAUAAAUACCAGAAAGCUCGUCGGAGGCAUGACUCAGAUGACGAUGAUUCUGGUUUUGAUGAAAGCUCCAAGCUUAAGACUCUGAAGGGAAAGCAUCAUUUGGAAAUGAACAGGCGAGAUGAUUCUGAGUCUAAAUCUGAUAUGUAUAGCAAUGAUAGAAAUAAAAGAAAGCAAGUGGAGAGGAAACGGAAUCCAGAGAGUGGCAGUCACAGACUGGAGAAAAAGAGUUACCGUUUGGAGGAGCACAAGAAAAUUGACGGGAGACAUGAGAAAGGUAACAGAAGGUAUAAUGUGGAAAGUGACUCGGAGACUGAGAGAGGAAGAAAAUACAGGAAUAUAGAGAAGAGUACAAGGCGGCGACAUGACUCUGAUGGUGAUGACUAUCAUGCCCAGUAUAAGAAGAUAGAAAAAAGCCAGAGAAGAAGGCAGCAUGAUACCGAAGAAGAUGAGAAUGAUGACGGUAAGAGUGAUUCUGGCAUUGAAUCAAAUGAAUAUAAGCAUGGGAAAAGAGAUAAUAUCAAGUCCUAUGGGAGGAAGAAAAGUAGCCAUGGAGGUGAUUUAAGUAGUGGUGAGGCACUAGGUGGAUUUGGAUCUAACCUAGAUGAAAAAGCUUUUAGAUCUAAUGUUGGUAGGGAUGAAGAUGGCAAAAAGCAGAAAAGUACACCUGGAAAGGUUGAUGAUGGCUUGGACACAUUCAGGAAAUUAGAGGAGCUUUCCCGCUCAAAAGGUGAUACAGUGGAUAGCCAUGGAAGUCGAGAAAUGACGAGGGCAAAGAGGAAGGCGGAUGACAGAAAUGUGGAUGAGAAGCCAGAGGCAAAGUCUAGAAGUCGGACUGUAGGGAAAGAGGUAGAUCACAGUAGGGAACAACAGAAGGAUCCUGAAACAGAUAGUAGAUCAUACAGACUUAAGGAUGACCAGAAGAGGGAUGAUUAUUCAAGAUCAAAUAGAUCUGCGAGGGGACAUGAGAAUGACAACACUGAACGAGCGGGCAGAACUCAUGGCAGGGAUGAACUAUAUCGUCACAGCAGGAGAAGUGAUCGGGAUUAUGAAGAGCAACGAGGUGGCAAGAGAUAUUAUAGCAGGGAUGAGGAUGAGAGCAGGGGAAAGAAACACAAGAGAGAUGAAGAGGAUAUAUAUAGGAGGGACAUGAAAGAUGAGGAACAAUAUCAGCAUGGUAGUAAAAGACAAGGAAGAGAUGAGGAAGAAGUACGUGGAAGUAGGAGAGAUGAGAGUAGGCACGCAGAAUCCUCAAAGAGAGUAAAAUAUGAAGAUUCUGGGUCAGGUGACAGGAGAAGGUACGACAUUGACAAGCAGGAUGAUAGACGCGCCAGGCCACGAGACUGAAGUUGCUUGUUAUCUUAGAGACAGGCUUAUGGAUGGUAAGGAUCUGUUUAUCUCCUACAUUUAUUGAGUGCAUGUGUCUUUUUGAGCUGCAGAAGUAUAUACGAAUAUAGAACUGAUUUUACCAAAUAUUUUGGAUUAGUGGGCAUGCCCUUGGUUGGAUGAAGAUAAGCAUGCUCCCAUCUUAAAUUCUCUUUUCCCUUGCCAAUGCUUCUCCUAUUAAGAAUAAUGAAUGUGCAAGCUCACCUAUUCAUUCUCAUUGAGGUGGUAAGCAUAUCCUGGAGCAUAAAGUGAUAGCUGCUAUGCAAUUUCUUUCCAUGAUAAACCCCCAAUUUUGUGAUUGAAGUAAAUAUCAUGUCUCACAUCCUGAUGGAGUCUUGAGCACCUCUGUUGCUUGAGCACAUUAAAGAUGGAAUCAAUGAUUUGGGAGAGAUGGAGAUGGUCGCUUUUGUUUACUCUGCCAAUAUAUAUAUAUAUGUAUCCUCAUGAUGCUUUGCUCUGCUUCUUUGUAUGAAUGAAAGAAUAUAAAAACACAAGACUAGUACUAGCCUCUUUUGUGUUGCAAAACUUGUUCUGGGCUUUCCUCAGUCCUUAAUUUCACGAGUUCUAUCUAAUAUUUUCCAAUCCGAAGCAAAAAAAAAAAUUAUGAUUUCA
RNA transcript from Diospyros lotus (date-plum), 3277 nucleotides. RefSeq lists it as uncharacterized. The record is from RefSeq and is a predicted model, not a curated record. Lineage: Eukaryota; Viridiplantae; Streptophyta; Magnoliopsida; Ericales; Ebenaceae. The transcript has 3 exons.